AGCAGCCGCGGUAAUUCCAGCUCCAAUAGCGUAUAUUAAAGUUGUUGCAGUUAAAAAGCUCGUAGUUGAAUUUCGGGAUCAAUAUGUUGGUCGUGCCAUUGGUACGCACUGGCAUUAUUGGUUUCUACCUUCUGAAGAACCUCGAUGUCAUUAAUUUGGUGUCUUGGGGAAUCAGGACUGUUACUUUGAAAAAAUUAGAGUGUUUAAAGCAAGCUCGCGCUUGAAUACAUUAGCAUGGAAUAAUGAAAUAGGACGUUUGAUUCUAUUUUGUUGGUUUCUAGGAUUGACGUAAUGAUUAAUAGGGAUAGUUGGGGGCAUUAGUAUUCAAUUGUCAGAGGUGAAAUUCUUGGAUUUAUUGAAGACUAACUACUGCGAAAGCAUUUGCCAAGGAUGUUUUCAUUAAUCAAGAACGAAAGUUAGGGGAUCGAAGACGAUCAGAUACCGUCGUAGUCUUAACCAUAAACUAUGCCGACUAGGGAUCGGAUGAUGUUAAUUUUUUAAUGACUCAUUCGGCGCCUUACG
This 522-nucleotide ribosomal RNA is filed under the name uncultured Glomeraceae. Its description in RNAcentral is "SSU rRNA". It matches the Rfam family "Eukaryotic small subunit ribosomal RNA", at positions 569 to 1092 of the family's 1831-position model. Lineage: Eukaryota; Fungi; Glomeromycota; Glomeromycetes; Glomerales; Glomeraceae. The record is from RNAcentral.